Molecule: small RNA, 27 nt
Filed under: Bombyx mori (domestic silkworm)
Lineage: Eukaryota; Metazoa; Arthropoda; Insecta; Lepidoptera; Bombycidae
Description: ovarian small RNA-29743
Source: RNAcentral
UCUCGCAGCGUUCGAGGCGCACGGUGG